UGUACCUUAGGAAAGACAGACCUGAGUUACAGCAGAGUUGGAGCAAUGUGUGGGAGAGACAAAGCCACAGACUGCUCCGAGCCCUAAGGAAAAUUACAGACUUUGGGUGGAGCGGGACAAAGAUCCUGGUGGGAGCCACAACAGGGAAGGGACAACACUGAUGUGUGCAAGUACCUCCCAGCACAAGCCAUCAACUCUCCGGACUUGAUGCAGGGGAGUCCAUCCUCGUAGUUUUGUUCCUCAGGGGGUACCACGGCCCAGCGCUGUUCCCAGAGCCACGUUAUUCCCUUUGAGAGCCCCAUGACAACUGCUGAUGAGAGCAAGGCGAAUUUCCUCCAGUUGCUGCCUGCCAUAGAACAGUAGUCUUAGUCAUCAGUUCAAUGAGUGCCAUAACAGCGAGAGGCUAUUAUGAAGCCUUCAAUCCAAGGACACUUCACUGCAGUCGGGAGAUCUGUAGUGAAUAGACCAUAAUAGCAGCGUGCCAAGAAAUGGGCCAGGAGUGCCUUUAAAAGCAACUCUCACUGCUGUAAGAAAUGCCCUGAAUUAGGCUGUGCCAGCCAGAAGGGUAGAAGACACUUGCGCCAUGGUGCCUCUGGAGCCCAAAAGCCAAAGGGACGUUGCAUUUGCCUCCCAAGGGUACAUGCGAAAGGACGUGGCUUUGCUGUGGUGACACAGCACACGCAGACUCCUUCCCUUCCAGCUUACGCACAUCUGUUAAGCAGCAAAGUUGCUCCCAAGAAGGGAUCAGAAGCAAGCGGUCUCUGUGCCACCCCUGUGAGGAGCGGGUUUUCCACAGCAGCAGCGUACCUGGCACACUCCUCUCGUGCUUUGGAUGACGCUGUUUCCUGGAAGAGGGAGCCACUCUGCUUGAAAAAUGGCUCAUACUUCUCUGUUCCACCUGCUGGAUAAAUGCGCCGGUAACCGCCCAGGUGCGAGUUCUCGUACUUCUCUGCCUGAGACAGCCAGGCAGCCUGGCUGCUCUCUAACUCCUCGCGUCUGCAAAGCGGGAGAAAGCACAGGCAGGGAGCUGCGACCGGAGGCUCCAGGUGCUGUGCCGGCUGAAGGACAAGGGCUUUCCCCAUCUGGGAGCAUGUUUCACACAGGUGCACUGCAGGGAACCAACACAGCCCACACCUCUUCAUCCUCUACCUGUGGAGCACUGGUGAAUCAUUUCCAGAUCUCUCCCCUGCAGCCCAGGCUCACACCCUGCCCCUCAGCCUUUUCACCCAACUAACCCAGUUAAGAAAAGUUCAGUUAAAAUGUGCCUAUUCAAGGCAUAUCUGCCACCCUGCAUGCUGCUGGGAGCCUUCCUUGCUAGCAGGGAGCUUGGGGCAGCCAAGGCUGCAGGGACAGGCAGAGGACAGAGCUAACACGCUCAGUGUCUCCAGCCCCGACUUAUCUCAGGUAUCCUAAUUGAAAUGGGAGCUGGAGGGAGUUCCUGCCUCACCCUGCAUGGCAGGAAAAGCCCAGGCAGCAGGCUCAUCCAACAUGGCCUCAUGAAAGGACAUGCAGACAGAGAAGCAGGAGGAAACCUUCAGCCCUGGGAAAGGAACCCCACUCUGGAGAAGGGCCCUGUGUCCCUGGAUGCUCUUGGUCCCUGAAGCAGUCUUGUCCUGGGACCAUCGCUGUGAGCCCAGGGAUGCCGGCACUGCCGGACAUGACAAGCAGGCACAGCUCGAUGGGUUGACUCUGUAGAGGGCCCAGAGCCACAGGUGUCUCAGAUCUCCUAGCACCCAGAGAUGAGCCCUGGCUCUUCCUUGCAGGAUGAAGGUGGCUUGGGAGAUCUCUUCUCAGAGGCUAUGUAGUGCCCUGGCCUCUGAGAGCUUUAAUUUGGAGACAGCCAGCCUUGUUUUUUUAUCCUGCUCCACUAUGCCUCAUCUUUUCUCGUGGGGGACCUGCAGCACUAUGGGGAAGGGCGAUACCUGGAUGCGCGGAGAGUCUGAUGGGCCUGGAGGAGCCGUUCUUUUGCCCGCUGUUUGUCUUCCUCCAGCACCUUCCUUUUGUUACAGGCGUGCACAUUUAUCAGGUUGAUGGUAUCACAGAGAAGAGCGUCCUUCACCUCACGGUCUAGGCGAGAGUCUGUGGUGAAGCUGGGAGAGUGGUUCACCUGCCAAAAGAAGCAACUAAUCUAACCUGGCACGUCCUCCCAGAAAACGCUCCCUGGCCCCAGUCUGUCCCACCGCACACUCUCCAAGUGUGUUCUUCCCUGUAACAGCAACAGAAAGCAGGAGGCUGCACGCAGUGCCUGGUUCUGUCCUGCAACAUAGUGCCCAUCCGCACUGCAGGUCAUUCGGAUCCCACACCCCGCAGGACUACAGGUGUGGGGCAGCUAUCAUAAAUUCAGGGUGCUGUUACAGGCAAAGGAGUGCUAAGGUUCAGGAAACUCCCUGCUGUUAGAGAGGGUGCAGAAGGAAAAGGCUCUUAGACCCCGCUUAGCCUGCAGUGGGUUGCUUGGCUACUUGUCUUCACAGCCUGUUUAAUUUUGUGAACACGGUGGCCCUUUUUAAUCAAAUGAGUUCUGUUCAUCCCACCACCCCUUGUUCUCUGGCCUCCCCCAGACAAGCCAGCUCUUGGCUCGCUGCUGUUUCCAGAGUUGCUUCAACAUGGCAGGAGACUUCUUCCUCACCUCUAGGAGCCAAGGCUUCAACUUUCUGUCUAGCAAAAUAUCAAAACCCAGUAUCUCAAAGCAGGCACAGCCAGUAGUGUGGUUUGGAAAGCAGCUUUGGUAAUUGUGCUUCACAACAGGGUGAGCUGAAAUAAGAGUCUUUAUAAUAA
Phalacrocorax carbo (great cormorant) is the source of this 2775-nucleotide non-coding RNA. The record is from RefSeq and is a predicted model, not a curated record. Lineage: Eukaryota; Metazoa; Chordata; Aves; Suliformes; Phalacrocoracidae.